GGAACAAAAACUCUUAAAAUCCCAAAGUUUAAAUCUAUUUGAAUUUUUGGACAUUUGACUGGUGACUGGUGAGUGGUUUGUUGAAGAAGCCUUUCACGUAGCAAUUAAUGUUCAUAAACAUAAUUAAGCUAGGAAAAGAAAUAAUGUGUGGUGACUUCUCUGUAGUGGCAUUAUUAGAAGCUUAAAAUUAUCCUGAAACUUAAAAGUGAUUCUCAA
Molecule: long non-coding RNA, 216 nt
Filed under: Medicago truncatula (barrel medic)
Lineage: Eukaryota; Viridiplantae; Streptophyta; Magnoliopsida; Fabales; Fabaceae
Description: long non-coding RNA (MTRU_LNC003387)
Source: RNAcentral